CGGGGUCGGAACUUCGGUUCCGGCUUACGUGGCGCACGGGUGAGUAACACGUGGGAAUCUGCCCAUCUAUGGGGAAUAACUGCGGGAAACUGCAGCUAAUACCGCAUACGCCCUUCGGGGGAAAGGCUUCGGCCGUAGAUGGAUGAGCCCGCGUCCGAUUAGCUAGUUGGUGGGGUAAAAGCCUACCAAGGCGACGAUCGGUAGCUGGUCUGAGAGGAUGAUCAGCCACACUGGGACUGAGACACGGCCCAGACUCCUACGGGAGGCAGCAGUGGGGAAUAUUGGACAAUGGGCGAAAGCCUGAUCCAGCAAUGCCGCGUGAGUGAUGAAGGUCUUCGGAUUGUAAAGCUCUUUCGACGGGGAAGAUAAUGACGGUACCCGUAGAAGAAGCCCCGGCUAACUUCGUGCCAGCAGCCGCGGUAAUACGAAGGGGGCUAGCGUUGUUCGGAUUUACUGGGCGUAAAGCGUGCGCAGGCGGCUUGUCAAGUCAGAAGUGAAAGCCCGGGGCUCAACUCCGGAACUGCUUUUGAGACUGGCAGGCUUGAGUUCGGGAGAGGGUAGUGGAAUUCCCAGUGUAGAGGUGAAAUUCGUAGAUAUUGGGAAGAACACCGG
RNAcentral lists this ribosomal RNA (612 nucleotides) under uncultured bacterium. RNAcentral describes it as "bacterial SSU rRNA". It matches the Rfam family "Bacterial small subunit ribosomal RNA", at positions 67 to 712 of the family's 1533-position model. The record is from RNAcentral.